RNAcentral lists this ribosomal RNA (468 nucleotides) under uncultured bacterium. Its description in RNAcentral is "partial 16S ribosomal RNA". It matches the Rfam family "Bacterial small subunit ribosomal RNA", at positions 28 to 507 of the family's 1533-position model. The record is from RNAcentral.
GACGAACGCUGGCGGCGUGCUUAACACAUGCAAGUCGAACGGAAAGGCCCCGCUCUUGUGGGCUGCUCGAGUGGCGAACCGGUGAGUAACACGUGAGUAACCUGCCCGUGCCUUUGGGUUAACUUCAGGAAACUGGGGCUAAUACCGGAUUGGAGCUCCUGCUGCAUGUUCGCUGUUGGAACGUUUAGGCGGUCGGGGAUGGACUCCCGGCUUAUCAGAUUGUUGGUGGGGUAGUGGCUGACCAAGGAUUUGACCGGUAGCCGGCCUGAGAGGGUGACCGGCCUGAUUAGGACUGGGAUACGACCCACACCCCUACGGGAGGCAGCAGUAGAGAAUAUUGCACAAUGCGCGGAAGCCAGAUGCAGCAGCGCCGCGACCGGGAUGGCGGCCUGCGGGUGGUAAACCGAGUUCGCCUGUGACGAAGCGUGAGUGAGGGUAAUAGGUAAAGGAGCACCGACUGACUACGUG